AUGCUCACUUCAUAUGCACAAAUACUAAAAUUGGAAUGAUACAGAGAAGAUUAGCAUGGCUCCUGUGCAAAGAUGACAUGCAAAUUUGUGAAGCAUUCAGUUUUUUU
This 107-nucleotide small nuclear RNA is filed under the name Phascolarctos cinereus (koala). The record is from RNAcentral. Lineage: Eukaryota; Metazoa; Chordata; Mammalia; Diprotodontia; Phascolarctidae.